UACGUAGGGGGCAAGCGUUGUCCGGAUUUACUGGGCGUAAAGAGCGUGUAGGCGGCCAAACAGGUCCGUUGUGAAAACUGGAGGCUUAACCUCCAGACGUCGACGGAAACCGUAUGGCUAGAGUCCGGAAGAGGAGAGUGGAAUUCCUGGUGUAGCGGUGAAAUGCGCAGAUAUCAGGAAGAACACCAAUGGCGAAGGCAGCUCUCUGGGACGGUACUGACGCUGAGACGCGAAAGCGUGGGGAGCAAACGGG
This 253-nucleotide ribosomal RNA is filed under the name uncultured bacterium. RNAcentral's name for it is "partial 16S ribosomal RNA". It matches the Rfam family "Bacterial small subunit ribosomal RNA", at positions 524 to 776 of the family's 1533-position model. The record is from RNAcentral.